GAGAUCGGGAUAACACCUGGAAACAGAUGCUAAUACCGGAUAACAAUAGAUGAUGCCUAUCAACUGUUUAAAAGAUGGUUCUGCUAUCACUCUUGGAUGGACCUGCGGUGCAUUAGCUAGUUGGUAGGGUAACGGCCUACCAAGGCGAUGAUGCAUAGCCGAGUUGAGAGACUGAUCGGCCACAUUGGGACUGAGACACGGCCCAAACUCCUACGGGAGGCAGCAGCC
This 228-nucleotide ribosomal RNA is filed under the name uncultured Lactobacillus sp. RNAcentral's name for it is "partial 16S ribosomal RNA". It matches the Rfam family "Bacterial small subunit ribosomal RNA", at positions 134 to 355 of the family's 1533-position model. Lineage: Bacteria; Bacillati; Bacillota; Bacilli; Lactobacillales; Lactobacillaceae. The record is from RNAcentral.